UUACUGAGUUUACGCUCUACAACCCUUUGUGAACAUACCUAUAACUGUUGCUUCGGCGGGUAGGGUCUCCGUGACCCUCCCGGCCUCCCGCCCCCGGGCGGGUCGGCGCCCGCCGGAGGAUAACCAAACUCUGAUUUAACGACGUUUCUUCUGAGUGGUACAAGCAAAUAAUCAAAACUUUUAACAACGGAUCUCUUGGUUCUGGCAUCGAUGAAGAACGCAGCGAAAUGCGAUAAGUAAUGUGAAUUGCAGAAUUCAGUGAAUCAUCGAAUCUUUGAACGCACAUUGCGCCCGCCAGCAUUCUGGCGGGCAUGCCUGUUCGAGCGUCAUUUCAACCCUCAAGCUCUGCUUGGUGUUGGGGCCCUACAGCUGAUGUAGGCCCUCAAAGGUAGUGGCGGACCCUCCCGGAGCCUCCUUUGCGUAGUAACUUUACGUCUCGCACUGGGAUCCGGAGGGACUCUUGCCGUAAAACCCCCAAUUUUCCAAAGGUUGACCUCGGAUCAGGUAGGAAUACCCGCUGAACUUAAGCAUAUCAAUAAGCGGAGGAAAAGAAACCAACAGGGAUUGCCUCAGUAACGGCGAGUGAAGCGGCAACAGCUCAAAUUUGAAAUCUGGCCCUAGGCCCGAGUUGUAAUUUGCAGAGGAUGCUUUUGGUGCGGUGCCUUCCAAGUUCCCUAGAACGGGACGCCAGAGAGGGUGAGAGCCCCGUACAGUUGGACACCAAGCCUUUGUAAAGCUCCUUCGACGAGUCGAGUAGUUUGGGAAUGCUGCUCAAAAUGGGAGGUAUAUUUCUUCUAAAGCUAAAUACCGGCCAGAGACCGAUAGCGCACAAGUAGAGUGAUCGAAAGAUGAAAAGCACUUUGAAAAGAGGGUUAAACAGCACGUGAAAUUUGUUAAAAGGGAAGCGCUUGUGACCAGACUUGCGUCCGGUGAAUCACCCAGCUCUCGCGGCUGGGGCACUUCGCCGGCUCAGGCCAGCAUCAGCUCGCUGUCGGGGACAAAAGCUUCAGGAACGUAGCUCUCUUCGGGGAGUGUUAUAGCCUGUUGCAUAAUACCCUUCGGCGGGCUGA
This 1070-nucleotide unclassified non-coding RNA is filed under the name leaf metagenome. RNAcentral describes it as "partial contains internal transcribed spacer 1, 5.8S ribosomal RNA, internal transcribed spacer 2, and large subunit ribosomal RNA". The stretch from base 491 to 1070 matches the Rfam family "Eukaryotic large subunit ribosomal RNA", at positions 1 to 591 of the family's 3401-position model. The record is from RNAcentral.